GUGCCAGCCGCCGCGGUAAUACGUAGGUGGCAAGCGUUAUCCGGAAUUAUUGGGCGUAAAGCGCGCGUAGGCGGUUUUUUAAGUCUGAUGUGAAAGCCCACGGCUCAACCGUGGAGGGUCAUUGGAAGCUGGAAAACUUGAGUGCAGAAGAGGAAAGUGGAAUUCCAUGUGUAGCGGUGAAAUGCGCAGAGAUAUGGAGGAACACCAGUGGCGAAGGCGACUUUCUGGUCUGUAACUGACGCUGAUGUGCGAAAGCGUGGGGAU
This 264-nucleotide ribosomal RNA is filed under the name uncultured Staphylococcus sp. Its description in RNAcentral is "partial 16S ribosomal RNA". It matches the Rfam family "Bacterial small subunit ribosomal RNA", at positions 505 to 768 of the family's 1533-position model. Lineage: Bacteria; Bacillati; Bacillota; Bacilli; Caryophanales; Staphylococcaceae. The record is from RNAcentral.